This 939-nucleotide unclassified non-coding RNA is filed under the name Yarrowia lipolytica. The record is from RNAcentral. Lineage: Eukaryota; Fungi; Ascomycota; Dipodascomycetes; Dipodascales.
CAGACUCAGUACACUCUCAGUUGUUCUGGAGACGGAGGUGCACUUAAUAGCCUGCUGGGGUGCGGACCUGAUAAGCAGACCUGUCUACAAGACAGCUAGCUUUCACGGAUCUGUCGUCCGCUAGAGUUGUUUGGGUAAUGUAAUGAGAUUCCAGAAUCCCAAGCGUCGGUUAAGAAGCCAAUGACGCGUUUAUUGCACGAGCCUAGGGUGACAGCUUCUGGUUGAGCGUUUGAACUUACAUUUGUUGUCGGCGGCGAAUUCACGUUUGCCCGAGCCAAGUGUCAGUAAGUCCGUGAUAUGAGACCGGUAUAAGCCAGGGAAAUUGAGCCGCAGCCACCGACAGAGUGGCUAAAGGAUGAGAUCCCUUUUGAGAGACUGAUACACACGCGCAUUGACAGGGUGGAACUCCUUGUGAAGUCUCAUAGGGUGGAACUUCUAUGUGAGAGGUGAAGAGCCAAGCUGAAAUGCUAGGGCUGUUACGCCAGUCACCAGAGCAGAAAUUCCAGAAUCAGAACGAAGGCCAUAACCGCCAAAGAGCAUAGCUUAGUCCGAGGAGCAGUAAGAAGUCGCAGACGAGAGCAAAGUGCAAUGAGUGCCAAACGCGUCAUACGUCAAUAAGUCCGAUGAAAAAUCAGAACGUACGCCCAAAGAGAACCGCCAGAGCCAGUACCAAAGCCACGGGCAAGAGUCGGUAAGUCUUUCAAGGCAGUGCUAAACAUCGUGAGAGCGCCAGAAUGGUCAAAGGGCCCAUAAGAACUUCAAGUCAAUCAGGGCCAGUUUCGCUAUUCAAGAGUAGGCAGUGAACCCCUACUGAAGAUGUUACUGGCUGGACCUCUUACCGAGGAUGUAUAAUGGUUGAGCCUGUUUAUCUAGUUUUUCAGAAGAAUAUGUGAAAUUCUGAACCUCUCGGGUUAAUAAAUCAUGGACCAAAGAAUCCCA